GUAAGGAAUAUUGGUCAAUGGACGAAAGUCUGAACCAGCCAUGCCGCGUGGAGGAUGAAGGUCCUCUGGAUUGUAAACUUCUUUUAUCUGGGACGAAAAAAGGUCUUUCUAGAUCGUCUGACGGUACCAGAUGAAUAAGCACCGGCUAACUCCGUGCCAGCAGCCGCGGUAAUACGGAGGGUGCAAGCGUUAUCCGGAUUCACUGGGUUUAAAGGGUGCGUAGGUGGGUUGGUAAGUCAGUGGUGAAAUCUUCGAGCUUAACUCGGAAACUGCCAUUGAUACUAUCAGUCUUGAAUAUUGUGGAGGUUAGCGGAAUAUGUCAUGUAGCGGUGAAAUGCUUAGAUAUGACAUAGAACACCAAUUGCGAAGGCAGCUGGCUACACAUAUAUUGACACUGAGGCACGAAAGCGUGGGGAUCAAACAGGAUUAGAUACCCGAGUAGUCC
Molecule: ribosomal RNA, 445 nt
Filed under: uncultured bacterium
Lineage: Bacteria
Description: partial 16S ribosomal RNA
Rfam family: Bacterial small subunit ribosomal RNA
Source: RNAcentral